This 448-nucleotide ribosomal RNA is filed under the name uncultured soil bacterium. RNAcentral's name for it is "bacterial SSU rRNA". It matches the Rfam family "Bacterial small subunit ribosomal RNA", at positions 26 to 518 of the family's 1533-position model. The record is from RNAcentral.
AGAACGAACGCUGGCGGCAUGCCUAAUACAUGCAAGUCGAACGAACACUUCGGUGUUAGCGGCGCACGGGUGCGUAACGCGUGGGAAUCUGCCCUUGGGUUCGGAAUAACAGUUGGAAACGACUGCUAAUACCGGAUGAUAUCGAAAGAUCAAAGAUUUAUCGCCCAGGGAUGAGCCCGCGUAGGAUUAGCUAGUUGGUGAGGUAAAGGCUCACCAAGGCGACGAUCCUUAGCUGGUCUGAGAGGAUGAUCAGCCACACUGGGACUGAGACACGGCCCAGACUCCUACGGGAGGCAGCAGUAGGGAAUAUUGGACAAUGGGCGCAAGCCUGAUCCAGCAAUGCCGCGUGAGUGAUGAAGGCCGUUAGGGUUGUAAAGCUCUUUUACCCGAGAUGAUAAUGACAGUAUCGGAGAAUAAGCCCCGGACUAACUCCGUGCCAGCAGCCGAC